This 253-nucleotide ribosomal RNA is filed under the name uncultured bacterium. RNAcentral describes it as "partial 16S ribosomal RNA". It matches the Rfam family "Bacterial small subunit ribosomal RNA", at positions 524 to 776 of the family's 1533-position model. The record is from RNAcentral.
UACGAAGGGGGCUAGCGUUGUUCGGAAUUACUGGGCGUAAAGCGCACGUAGGCGGACUAUUAAGUCAGGGGUAAAAUCCCGGGGCUCAACCCCGGAACUGCCUUUGAUACUGGUAGUCUCGAGUCCGGAAGAGGUGAGUGGAAUUCCGAGUGUAGAGGUGAAAUUCGUAGAUAUUCGGAGGAACACCAGUGGCGAAGGCGGCUCACUGGUCCGGUACUGACGCUGAGGUGCGAAAGCGUGGGGAGCAAACAGG